AUGGCUCUGCUCCACCUCCUCGUAGCCUUCAGCCUGGUUCCUCUGGUGGCUCCUGCUACAUCCUCCCCAGCAACCAGCUCCACUCAACCCAACUCCUCCCUAGCAACCAGCUCCCCUCCACCCAACUCCUCCCUAGCAACCAGCUCCCCUCCACCCAACUCCUCCCUAGCAACCAGCUCCCCUCCGCCCAACUCCUCCCUAGCAACCAGCUCCCCUCCACCCAACUCCUCCCUAGCAACCAGCUCCCCUCCACCCAACUCCUCCCUAGCAACCAGCUCCCCUCCACCCAACUCCUCCCUAGCAACCAGCUCCCCUCCACCCAACUCCUCCCUAGCAACCAACUCCCCUCCGCCCAACUCCUCCCUAGCAACCAGCUCCCCUCCACCCAACACCUCCCUAGCAACCAGCUCCACUCCACCCAACUCCUCCCUAACAACCAGCUCCACUCAACCCAACUCCUCCCUAGCAACCAGCUCCCCUCCACCCAACACCUCCCUAGCAACCAGCUCACCUCCACCCAACUCCUCCCUAGCAACCAGCUCCCCUCCACCCAACACCUCCCUAGCAACCAGCUCCACUCCACCCAACUCCUCCCUAACCCCAAACCCCACCAGCAUGCCUUCCACUAACACCCUCUCCUCCACCACCUCCUCCACCCACACUGUCCCCCCCUCCUCCUCCUCCUCCUCCUCCUCCUCAACCAACAACAACUCCUCCACAAAAGGCGCGGAGUCCGGGUUAACGGGGUCGAAGGCUGUCCUACUGCCGAUCCUGGUCAGUAUCAUCGUGCUCGCGCUGUUGCUCUGCAUCUUCAACGAGUUCUGCGCCAGUCGCCCGUCCGACAGGUGCAGCUCCGCCCCCACGCGCCUAUGGGGGGCGCUCUCGCGGAUGACGGACCGAGUCGGCAACAUGGAGGAGUUGUUGGAGCUCCACUUCCGUGGGGACGCUGAGGAGGAGGAGCGAGGAGGCGGAGGCCACGGUGGGGGGGGUAAGCAGGAGGAGGCGGGCGAGAAGGAGCCAGCCCGGGCUGGAGGAGAGGAGCAGAAGGACCCAAAGGGAGGAGGUUCGGGAGUAGCACCAGGACCUCCUCAUGCUGCCGAGGAGCGUCUGUUUGACGUCACCAUAUUGUAG
Molecule: long non-coding RNA, 1131 nt
Filed under: Gadus morhua (Atlantic cod)
Lineage: Eukaryota; Metazoa; Chordata; Actinopteri; Gadiformes; Gadidae
Description: lncRNA (ENSGMOG00000028516.1)
Source: RNAcentral